AUGGGAACGCGAAGAACCUUACCUACUCUUGACAUCCAGAGAACUUAGCAGAGAUGCUUUGGUGCCUUCGGGAACUCUGAGACAGGUGCUGCAUGGCUGUCGUCAGCUCGUGUUGUGAAAUGUUGGGUUAAGUCCCGCAACGAGCGCAACCCUUAUCCUUUGUUGCCAGCGGUCCGGCCGGGAACUCAAAGGAGACUGCCAGUGAUAAACUGGAGGAAGGUGGGGAUGACGUCAAGUCAUCAUGGCCCUUACGAGUAGGGCUACACACGUGCUACAAUGGCGCAUACAAAGAGAAGCGACCUCGCGAGAGCAAGCGGACCUCAUAAAGUAUGUCGUAGUCCGGAUUGGAGUCUGCAACUCGACUCCAUGAAGUCGGAAUCGCUAGUAAUCGUAGAUCAGAAUGCUACGGUGAAUACGUUCCCGGGUCUUGUACACACCG
Molecule: ribosomal RNA, 439 nt
Filed under: uncultured bacterium
Lineage: Bacteria
Description: bacterial SSU rRNA
Rfam family: Bacterial small subunit ribosomal RNA
Source: RNAcentral